This is a long non-coding RNA of Ictalurus punctatus (channel catfish), 890 nucleotides long. RefSeq lists it as uncharacterized. The record is from RefSeq and is a predicted model, not a curated record. The transcript is spliced from 3 exons. Lineage: Eukaryota; Metazoa; Chordata; Actinopteri; Siluriformes; Ictaluridae.
ACACUGAUGAGCCGCGUCAGUGUAAAAUAGCCCAAACCUACCUUCUGUUUCAGGCGGCGUUGUGCUGGAUGGAGCUUGACUGCCCUCGUGUGUCCAAACUCAGGAACGGCAGUUUCCCUGAAGGGGUAUUCUGUUCCAAGUUUGUGGUAGUUAGCCAAGAAAUAUUACAUGAUUACUAUUACUCUCUCUCCCCUUUUUAAAACCUGUUCACGAUAAUUAUUGUAUACAUUACCUUUAUUUUUGUAAUCUUCUCCCCUAUUUGUGGAUAUUCUUGAGUGAAAUAGAUGAGGCCACGUAGGGAACACAUGAAGUUACCUAGGAGCAGAGUCUAAAAUAUCUUUUUGAGGGACCUCAAACUAUUAUCAUUUGCUAUACUAUUGAUCAUUACGUUAAGUACAUCUUAUUCGUAUAUGGAAAGUACUUAAUGAAGAUAAUAUACUUUAUAUUUUUUUAUGUAACCAUUCAAGUAUUUGUUGAAAUGCUUUUGUUACUGAUAAAUACAUGUACAUUUAAAUUGAUUUUGUUCUGUCUGUGAUUUUGUAGAUCUGGAUGUUCAGCUGGUCUCAGAUCAAGCAUCCUCCUCUGUACUGACUCCACUAUCCCCAGCUUCAUCCCAUUCAUCAGAUUCCACAAUUGUCCUGGAGUCCACAAGAAAGAAGAGGAACCCAACAGGGUUAAUGGAGCAGAAUGAAGCAAGACAGAAAGUUGAUUGUGUUCUGAGGGUCAAUCCAAAGGGUGAGGAAAUCUCCAAGGAGUAUGAAAAGACCAAAACACUAGCAGAUGUCACACAUAAACAGAUGGUGAACGCCCUGGUUGCAGACAUGUUAGAGCUACAUGGGAGGAUUCCAUCCUCAAGUGUGAGGACCAGUUAUGCACUGGGAAUUGUGACA